CGAACGCUGGCGGUGCGCCUUAUGCAUGCAAGUUGAGCGAAGCUUUUUGGUAGUUUACUACUAGAAAUGACUGAGCGGCGAACGGGUGAGUAACGCGUGAGCAAUCUACCUUAGUUACUGGGAUAGCCCGAGGAAACUCGGAUUAAUACCGGAUAUUCUUAUUUUUUCACAUGAAGUUUUAAGGAAAGGUCAGCCGAACUAAGAUGAGCUCGCGUUCUAUCAGCUAGUUGGUGGGGUAAAAGCCUACCAAGGCUACGACGGAUAGCUGGUCUGAGAGGACGAUCAGCCACACUGGGACUGAGACACGGCCCAGACUCCUACGGGAGGCUGCAGCAGGGAAUAUUGUGCAAUGAGCGAAAGCUUGACACAGCGACACCGCGUGUGGGAUGACGGUUCUAGGAUUGUAAACCACUUUCAGGAGGGAAGAAAAUGACGGUACCUCCACAAGAAGACCCGG
Molecule: ribosomal RNA, 457 nt
Filed under: uncultured bacterium
Lineage: Bacteria
Description: bacterial SSU rRNA
Rfam family: Bacterial small subunit ribosomal RNA
Source: RNAcentral